This 434-nucleotide unclassified non-coding RNA is filed under the name fungal sp. Its description in RNAcentral is "partial internal transcribed spacer region". The stretch from base 1 to 46 matches the Rfam family "Eukaryotic small subunit ribosomal RNA", at positions 1786 to 1831 of the family's 1831-position model. The record is from RNAcentral. Lineage: Eukaryota; Fungi.
AAGUCGUAACGAGGUUUCCGUAGGUGAACCUGCGGAAGGAUCAUUAACACGUAUCCAAACGUUUAAAAAAAAAGAAAACCCCCCUGUGAACGUUUGCUUGCUCUUGCAGCCCGCCUGGCUAGAAAAUCCCUGGUAAAUCAUCGCUGAACUAGUUUAAUUCAGGGACCGUCUGAUUGGGUGAGAAUAACCAAGCCUGCUCCGUAAAGUCCCCUGCGUACGUGAAAGUGGUAUUGGGGUGUAUGUACUGGAGAAACCCUUCUGGAUGAUGGACGGCCACCACGGCCGGUCGCUGCUGCUUGUGGGCGUUCGUGCCCCCCAGGAUUACCCCGCUACCAGUCGAAACGACCAACCUGCGCAACCAUUACGUGUUGAGCCCGUGGGCGUCGUAAACCGAAAUACUUGAACAACUGUUAACAAUGGAUAUCUUGGUUCUC